UACGAAGGUGGCUAGCGUUGUUCGGAAUCACUGGGCGUAAAGCGCACGUAGGCGGAUGUGUCAGUCAGGGGUGAAAUCCCGGAGCUCAACUUCGGAACUGCCUCUGAUACAGCACGUCUUGAGUUCGAGAGAGGUGGGUGGAAUUCCUAGUGUAGAGGUGAAAUUCGUAGAUAUUAGGAAGAACACCGGUGGCGAAGGCGGCCCACUGGCUCGAUACUGACGCUGAGGUGCGAAAGCGUGGGGAGCAAACAGG
This 253-nucleotide ribosomal RNA is filed under the name uncultured bacterium. Its description in RNAcentral is "partial 16S ribosomal RNA". It matches the Rfam family "Bacterial small subunit ribosomal RNA", at positions 524 to 776 of the family's 1533-position model. The record is from RNAcentral.